This 265-nucleotide ribosomal RNA is filed under the name uncultured bacterium. RNAcentral describes it as "partial 16S ribosomal RNA". It matches the Rfam family "Bacterial small subunit ribosomal RNA", at positions 793 to 1055 of the family's 1533-position model. The record is from RNAcentral.
GUCCACGCCGUAAACGAUGGAAGCUAGCCGUUGGUGGGUUUACUCAUCAGUGGCGCAGCUAACGCAUUAAGCUUCCCGCCUGGGGAGUACGGUCGCAAGAUUAAAACUCAAAGGAAUUGACGGGUGCCCGCACAAGCGGUGGAGCAUGUGGUUCAAUUCGAAGCAACGCGAAGAACCUUACCAGCCUUUGACAUGCCUCGUAUGGUCGCCAGAGAUGGCUUCCUUCCCGCAAGGGGCGAGUGCACAGGUGCUGCAUGGCUGUCGU